AGUCGAGGGGUUUGACAUGAUCAGGUCCGCUUCUUCCAGUUAGCUCGUCAACAGCACCAAAUCACCUGAAAUCAACACAAAUAUGCAACAUGCAUGCAAAACUAUCCUAAACAUGCAAAGUGAUAACAAAUGAUGAGAAAUGAUAUAAAACUGUGAUGAUAUGAUGCUAAAGUGAUGACAAAUUGAUGCUCAAAACAUGCAAAAUACACACUUAUCAACUCCUCAAACUUAGUCUUUGCUUUCCCACAAGCAAACAAUUAAGAACAAGUUGGAGGUGAGGUUUGAAAGCGGGGACUUAGAGCCAAAACACCAAAUAAACCAGAUGAAAUCAAUGUCGAAGUUGAUAGUUCUAAGCUGCGAUAUGAUCGAAUUCUACUCAAAAACGUUAGCCAUGCCUUAUUAUCAAUUAAUCCGACUCAUAUGCUCGACCGACACAUGUUUUCAAAUCUACCAAUCCCUUUAACAUUCAUUAGCUCUGGAACGUGAAUAAAGCAAUGCAUCCUCAAGGAACUCAUUUGGCUAA
Molecule: small RNA, 523 nt
Filed under: Arabidopsis thaliana (thale cress)
Lineage: Eukaryota; Viridiplantae; Streptophyta; Magnoliopsida; Brassicales; Brassicaceae
Description: ATSL090820
Source: RNAcentral